GUCUAUGGCCAUACCACGCUGAACACAUACAAUCUCAUCUGAUCUCAGAAGCUAAGCAGGGUUGGGCCUGGUUAGUACUUGGAUGGGAAAGUUCAAGGCCAGCCUCUACU
This 110-nucleotide ribosomal RNA is filed under the name Neotoma lepida (desert woodrat). Lineage: Eukaryota; Metazoa; Chordata; Mammalia; Rodentia; Cricetidae. The record is from RNAcentral.